This 358-nucleotide ribosomal RNA is filed under the name uncultured bacterium. RNAcentral describes it as "bacterial SSU rRNA". It matches the Rfam family "Bacterial small subunit ribosomal RNA", at positions 569 to 925 of the family's 1533-position model. The record is from RNAcentral.
UCGUAGGCGGCCUGUUGCGUCCGCUGUGAAAGCCCGGGGCUUAACCCCGGGUCUGCAGUGGAUACGGGCAGGCUAGAGGUAGGUAGGGGAGAAUGGAAUUCCCGGUGUAGCGGUGAAAUGCGCAGAUAUCGGGAGGAACACCGGUGGCGAAGGCGGUUCUCUGGGCCUUACCUGACGCUGAAGAGCGAAAGCGUGGGGAGCGAACAGGAUUAGAUACCCUGGUAGUCCACGCCGUAAACGUUGGGCGCUAGGUGUGGGAUCCUUCCACGGAUUCCGUGCCGCAGCUAACGCAUUAAGCACCCCGCCUGGGGAGUACGGCCGCAAGGCUAAAACUCAAAGGAAUUGGCGGGGGAGCACA